GGAAAGUUUUUACCUUCUCGAUAAAGAUGACAUCAAAGACUUGAUCACGAAAGUUGGACCAAGGGCAAAAUUCAAGAAGAGACUCAAGUCUCUGAAGGGGGAGAAAAAUGCAACAAAUCAGGAACAUGAAGAAACUGCUGAUUCUGCUCAGGUUUUGGCCAACAGUAACACAAGAGAUAAAGGAAAAAGAAAGUCUGAGUCUCAGCGGGAGUCCAGCGGAUGUCUAUCACCAACUAAGAAACGACGACGGGACUCCACAUAUUCA
This is a non-coding RNA of Labrus bergylta (ballan wrasse), 265 nucleotides long. Lineage: Eukaryota; Metazoa; Chordata; Actinopteri; Labriformes; Labridae. The record is from RefSeq and is a predicted model, not a curated record.